Molecule: long non-coding RNA, 1119 nt
Organism: Corylus avellana
Lineage: Eukaryota; Viridiplantae; Streptophyta; Magnoliopsida; Fagales; Betulaceae
Source: RefSeq, a predicted model, not a curated record
UUCUCUUAUCUCUUUCGAUCUCUUUUUCCCAAAUUUCCCUUAAUCUACGAAACUCAAUACCUCACUCUUUUUUUCUUCACACUUCUUCGACAGAAAAAGAACAAAAAAAUGGAUUUGCUAUCUUGAAAAUUUUCUCUCAAAUUUUCUCUCAAAAUUCCUCUCAAUUUUCUCAUUCUCUAACACCCAAACCGAAUGACGAUUUCUUCUACCAAUACCGUUUCUUAUUAACCGUUUCAGUCUCAAAUAAGCUAUUAUAACUGCGAGCGGAGAGAAACAGAGAGAGAAGACGAGUCCGAGAGAUCGAGUUUUCGGGUUUGGGCUGUUGAUGGCUAUGGGUGCCCUUCCGUAGGAGACAAAUAAAUUUAUGUGAUUGCAAGCAGUUUUGGAAAGCAGGGGAUUAUGAGAUCACCGACAGAGGCGAUGCUGCUUCGACUUCUGAUCGUUGCUGGUGCAAUCCUUGAGAAUUAUGAGCCUCCACCGGGUGGGUUCUACUUUGAAGUCCAUGAUAAUUCCCCAAUGGUUCAAUAUUCAAGCCUGAGUUAAUGACUUUGUUGCUGCUGCAGUAUCGCAUGGAAAUGGUGAAAGCUAUUCACAAUACAUUUUGCUAGGGUAAGGAAUGCAUUGGCCUUUGCUACGCACAAAUUUUUCCAAGAGCAUGGAUUUGUUUGGGUCUCAAGUCCUAUUGUUACAGCUUCAUAUUGUGAAGGCGCAGGUGAACAGUUAUGUGUGACUACUUUGAUACAAAGCUCUGGCUAAGCUGUUGAUUCUCCUUUGGAUGCCAUUCCGAAGACUAAGGAUGGGUUAAUUGACUGGUCAUAGGAGGGCAUUACUAAUAUACAAAGCCUUGGAAGGCUUUCUUCAUAGCAAGAAUUUAUUAUUCGGCUAAGAGCUACAUUGAUUGAUGGAUGUGGAGGACAACGUCAAAGAUUCAACAUUAUUACUGUUCAAAAUCCACCAAACGAAGAUGAAUCAAUUUUUACUACCCAAUACUUCGUAGCUUCAUCUACUCCUUUAACCAACUAAAUUGUAAAGUGAUGUACUUUGAAACGAGUUUUAGUAUUAGGUAGUCAUGCAAGAUGAAGACAAACAAAUGUAAAUUAACUCAUUUUCGUUUUUUUU